UAAUUAGGCCUAAUUCAUUGCCCUGCAGUUGAUUUUACCUGCGUGUUGGCCUCUAUGCGCAUUUGCGCAGAAGCAUCAAUUUGGCGAUGUCUUCCGAACAGAAGACAAACAUUGUUGUGUUUUUAUGUAUAAUAACUGUAGCUUUUUCUAACUUGAACUUCUGUGGUGCGUUGAGUGUAGAAAAGUUUGUUCUCAAUGGUUUUAAUGCGGAUCAUGAAAAGGCGUCAAAUGCUGACAGAGAGCCGAGGAUCAAAACAAAACAGCUGGCCGUUCUUCGGCGCAAUCUUCGACCUACUGUUAAUAAUUCCAGCAUUCAAGAACAGAGUGCAGAGUCCAUUGACGUUCCUGAGAACUCUAUAAAUAAUUCGAGUCAACCCAACAUUGAUCUAAAGUCAACUGAUUUGCGGGCGCCUUUGAAUGUGCGUAAUGGUUUCAAUGUCCAGAAAAGAUCUCUGGAUUACAAUGCUGGACAUCAGGCAGUCUUCAAAGGUUUUGAAGGCCACGGUUUUCAAGGGAAGGUCUAUGGUCCAUCAGCUAACCACAACCCUCACUCCAGUGAAUGGCUGUCGAUGAGGCCUCUGGUCCAGUGUAAUGACAACCUCAUGAUGCUCACUGCAUCUGGACGAGGAUACACACAUCUACUGGUGGAUAGAGCGGGCACCUCUCCCAUCUCCCUGUUCCAGCUGCCGCCGUCCUGUGGCUACCAUGUGAAGACUACCUGGAGAGAGAUGGUGAUGAUGGCACCAUACGAUGGCUGCUACAUCAUGCAGGAGCAUGGUAGUUAUGUCCUGCCCAUGCUGUGGUGGGGCAGCCCUGUGAAGAUCAUUUGCCCAGUCCCCCACCCUGACCCCCGACCCCACCCUGUCCCCCCAGUACUCUGCUCCCACUUUGGCAUGGCCAUCCAGAUACAUGGAGAGGAGGAGGUCAUACACACACUACAGGUCAUAGAGAAUGGCGAGUGGGUGCCGUUUGUGUCUGAAGAGUGUGCCUACCAAGUGGAGUCUCACUCAGAAGACCUCAUAUUUUAUGUUCCCUUUACAGCCCCAUGUGUGACCAUCGGAAAUGGAGUUCAUCGACUGGUCCUAUUGGACGGCCAGGACUUCAUCCUCUCCUGCCCCUCACACCACCCUCCUCCAUUUCCCUUUUUUCCCUCCCCUCCAUUUUCUCAACCCUUCUCUCCUGGUGACCCACAGCAGCAGAUACCUGACCCUGGAACUUUUGCUCCCUCCACCAGCCCUCCCCUUACCUCUCCUCCCAUCACCCCUUAUACUCAACCCCCAGCCCAGGAACAGAUGCCCCAACUUCCUGCGUUCCCCCACCACCUCCCUCAUGGCAUGUAUCCCCAAAUUCCCUAUUUCCCUUAUGGUGGAGCUGGUUAUCACCCUCUCCUCCACCCUGGUCACGAACCAUAUCCUGGCUCCCAUCAUCUUCUCCCAGGGAGAUAUCCAGGCCAGCAGCCCUUCUUCCCCAUGGGGCCUGGGAAUCACCCCUACGGCUCUGGAGACCACAGUGACUCCUUUUACCUCUCCCCGCCCCCUACCCACGAUCCCAUGCUCGACUAUUAUAAUGAAAUUGCCCCUGGUGUCCACCGUCCUUCUGUUUAUCCUACUCCUCUUAUAGCUAUCCGACCACCGCAACCCGCCGCUUAUACCAAACCUCCUCCCGCCGCUUAUACCAAACCUCCUCCCGCCGCUUAUACCAAACCUCCUCCCGCCGCUUAUACCAAACCUCCUCCCGCCGCUUAUACCAAACCUCCUCCCGCCGCUUAUACCAAACAUUCUCUUCCAUAUUAUACCGAACAACCUCCACCUCUCGAUACUGAACCUGUUCUUCCUAUAACACCUACUGCCUUUGAACGUCGUUCUUACCCCAUUGUUACCGGAUCUCCUCCUCCCCCUUCUGGAUCCAAACCUUCAUCACCUGUUUUCCAACCUCCAAAAAUACCUGCAGAUCCAAAUGACCCAUAUGGGGUCCACAUGACCAAUCAGGCCCUGAUUACUGAAGAGCCCAUGUCUGCUACUGGGAGCCCCAAUCCUGAUCCCUAUUCCCAACCUCCUAAAUGGCCUGUGGGUCCAUACUAUUACCCAUAUGGUCCUUACUACCCUCCAUCUGGUCCUCACCAUUAUCCCUUCAUACCAAUCUACUACCCCUCACCUACCCAAGAGCCUAGCCCAGUCACAGCUAGUCCUCCCCAGACUCUCCCUACAGGUCCUCAGGACCCUACAAUGCCCACAGUCUACCCACUGAACCACUACCCUCAGCCAGUCACCUGCUCUCCCUCUGCCCAUACCAUCUGUAGCGAUUACCCAUAUGCCGUGGAUGUGCCACACUACCAGCCACACCACCCAUAUCCUCUCUACCUGAUGCCCAGCCCCCCUCUGACCACCCCAGCCCUUCCCUCCACAGGCACAGCUCUGCCUGGUGCUACUCAACCACCCCAGACCUCACCAACCACCACCUCACCCUCCUCCAGGACCAUAUCUUCCACUACUACUCUCACUCCUUGGAUGUCCAUCCUCACCCCUACUCUCCCCCUCAGCCCUCCCUCUCUCCUGGGCUCUCCCCUCGGCCCUCACUCCACUGUCUAGCAGGACAGAUGAUGGUGUCGCUGCCCUCUGCUCUCCUGGACUCCAUCCAGGUCAAAGAUCAGAUGAAUGGCUGGGUGUCCAUCUCCAGUGCCCCCGCGGCUUGUAGAUACAUCCUGCAGAUGAGUAAGGGUGGUGGAGUGAUCCUCCAUUCCCCUCUCCCUGCCUGCCACAGCCAGGCUAUG
Oncorhynchus gorbuscha (pink salmon) is the source of this 2770-nucleotide RNA transcript. It is a transcript of the gene named zona pellucida sperm-binding protein 4, with no coding region annotated. The record is from RefSeq and is a predicted model, not a curated record. Lineage: Eukaryota; Metazoa; Chordata; Actinopteri; Salmoniformes; Salmonidae. The transcript has 7 exons.